RNAcentral lists this transfer RNA (77 nucleotides) under Candidatus Omnitrophota bacterium. RNAcentral describes it as "Candidatus Omnitrophica bacterium (sediment metagenome) tRNA-Val". It matches the Rfam family "tRNA". From Rfam's summary of the family: Transfer RNA (tRNA) molecules are approximately 80 nucleotides in length. Their secondary structure includes four short double-helical elements and three loops (D, anti-codon, and T loops). Lineage: Bacteria; Pseudomonadati; Candidatus Omnitrophota. The record is from RNAcentral.
GGACGCGUAGCUCAGUUGGUUAGAGCACUGCCCUCACAUGGCAGGGGUCACAGGUUCGAAUCCUGUCGCGUCCACCA